CGCGUAGGCGGCCUUAUAAGUCAGAUGUGGAAGUCCACGGCUCAACCGUGGAAGUGCAUUUGAAACUGUGGGGCUUGAGUAUCGGAGGGGAGUGUGGAAUUCCCGGUGUAGAGGUGAAAUUCGUAGAGAUCGGGAGGAACACCGGUGGCGAAGGCGACACUCUGGACGAAUACUGACGCUGAGGCGCGAAAGCGUGGGGAGCAAACA
RNAcentral lists this ribosomal RNA (207 nucleotides) under uncultured bacterium. Its description in RNAcentral is "partial 16S ribosomal RNA". It matches the Rfam family "Bacterial small subunit ribosomal RNA", at positions 568 to 774 of the family's 1533-position model. The record is from RNAcentral.